RNAcentral lists this ribosomal RNA (253 nucleotides) under uncultured bacterium. Its description in RNAcentral is "partial 16S ribosomal RNA". It matches the Rfam family "Bacterial small subunit ribosomal RNA", at positions 524 to 776 of the family's 1533-position model. The record is from RNAcentral.
UACGUAGGUGGCAAGCGUUGUCCGGAUUUAUUGGGUUUAAAGGGUGCGUAGGCGGUCUAUUAAGUCAGCGGUGAAAUACUCCAGCUUAACUGGAGGGGUGCCAUUGAUACUGAUGGACUUGAGUCAAGUCGAGGUAGGCGGAAUUGACGGUGUAGCGGUGAAAUGCUUAGAUAUCGUCAAGAACACCAAUAGUGAAGACAGCUUACUGGGCUUAAACUGACGCUAAGGCACGAAAGUGUGGGGAUCAAACAGG